CCUACGGGCGGCAGCAGUGAGGAAUAUUGGUCAAUGGGCGGAAGCCUGAACCAGCCAAGUAGCGUGCAGGAUGACGGCCCUACGGGUUGUAAACUGCUUUUAUACGGGAAUAACGCGCCUUACGUGUAGGGCUUUGCAUGUACCGUAUGAAUAAGGACCGGCUAAUUCCGUGCCAGCAGCCGCGGUAAUACGGAAGGUCCGGGCGUUAUCCGGAUUUAUUGGGUUUAAAGGGAGCGUAGGCCGCAUGUCAAGCGUGCUGUGAAAUGUCCGGGCUCAACCCGGGCCUUGCAGCGCGAACUGGCGUACUGGAGUCCGCGGAAAGCAGGCGGAAUUCGUCGUGUAGCGGUGAAAUGCUUAGAUAUGACGAAGAACCCCGAUUGCGAAGGCAGCUUGCUGCAGCGGAACUGACGCUGAUGCUCGAAAGCGCGGGUAUCGAACAGGAUUAGAUACCCCAGUAGUC
This 460-nucleotide ribosomal RNA is filed under the name uncultured bacterium. Its description in RNAcentral is "partial 16S ribosomal RNA". It matches the Rfam family "Bacterial small subunit ribosomal RNA", at positions 338 to 795 of the family's 1533-position model. The record is from RNAcentral.